AGAGUUUGAUCCUGGCUCAGGAUGAACGCUGGCGGCGUGCUUAACACAUGCAAGUCGAACGAAGCACUUUAUUUGAUUUCCUUCGGGACUGAUUAUUUUGUGACUGAGUGGCGGACGGGUGAGUAACGCGUGGGUAACCUGCCUUGUACAGGGGGAUAACAGUUGGAAACGGCUGCUAAUACCGCAUAAGCGCACGGCAUCGCAUGAUGCAGUGUGAAAAACUCCGGUGGUAUAAGAUGGACCCGCGUUGGAUUAGCUAGUUGGUGAGGUAACGGCCCACCAAGGCGACGAUCCAUAGCCGACCUGAGAGGGUGACCGGCCACAUUGGGACUGAGACACGGCCCAAACUCCUACGGGAGGCAGCAGUGGGGAAUAUUGCACAAUGGGCGAAAGCCUGAUGCAGCGACGCCGCGUGAAGGAAGAAGUAUCUCGGUAUGUAAACUUCUAUCAGCAGGGAAGAUAAUGACGGUACCUGACUAAGAAGCCCCGGCUAACUACGUGCCAGCAGCCGCGGUAAUACGUAUGGUGCAAGCGUUAUCCGGAUUUACUGGGUGUAAAGGGAGCGCAGGCGGUGCGGCAAGUCUGAUGUGAAAGCCCGGGGCUCAACCCCGGUACUGCAUUGGAAACUGUCGUACUAGAGUGUCGGAGGGGUAAGCGGAAUUCCUAGUGUAGCGGUGAAAUGCGUAGAUAUUAGGAGGAACACCAGUGGCGAAGGCGGCUUACUGGACGAUAACUGACGCUGAGGCUCGAAAGCGUGGGGAGCAAACAGGAUUAGAUACCCUGGUAGUCCACGCCGUAAACGAUGAUACUAGGUGUCGGGGAGCAUGGCUC
This 831-nucleotide ribosomal RNA is filed under the name uncultured bacterium. RNAcentral's name for it is "bacterial SSU rRNA". It matches the Rfam family "Bacterial small subunit ribosomal RNA", at positions 8 to 838 of the family's 1533-position model. The record is from RNAcentral.